CAGCCGCCACGGUAAUACGAGGGGGGCAAGCGUUGUUCGGAUUUAUUGGGCGUAAAGGGUGCGUAGGCGGUUUGGCAAGUCUUGUGUGAAAUCUUCGGGCUCAACCCGAAGCCUGCACGAGAAACUACCGGGCUUGAGUAUUGGAGAGGUGAGUGGAAUUUCCGGUGUAGCGGUGAAAUGCGUAGAUAUCGGAAGGAACACCUGUGGCGAAAGCGGCUCACUGGACAAUAACUGACGCUGAUGCACGAAAGCUAGGGGAGCAAACAGGAUUAGAUACCCCCGUAGUCCCUGUCUCUUAUAC
RNAcentral lists this ribosomal RNA (301 nucleotides) under uncultured bacterium. Its description in RNAcentral is "partial 16S ribosomal RNA". It matches the Rfam family "Bacterial small subunit ribosomal RNA", at positions 509 to 807 of the family's 1533-position model. The record is from RNAcentral.